This 121-nucleotide ribosomal RNA is filed under the name Jaculus jaculus (lesser Egyptian jerboa). Lineage: Eukaryota; Metazoa; Chordata; Mammalia; Rodentia; Dipodidae. The record is from RNAcentral.
GCCUACAGCCAUCCCACCCUGAACGUGCCCGAUCUCGUCUGAUCUCAGAAGUUAAGCGGGGUCGGGCCUGGUUAUACUUGGAUGAGAGGGUGAGCUUGUGUGUGGCAAGUGGGAGUGUGCU